Molecule: microRNA precursor, 97 nt
Filed under: Nicotiana sylvestris (wood tobacco)
Lineage: Eukaryota; Viridiplantae; Streptophyta; Magnoliopsida; Solanales; Solanaceae
Description: MIR6152 microRNA precursor family
Rfam family: MIR6152 microRNA precursor family
Source: Rfam by way of RNAcentral
UAGACAUAUUAUUGUAUUUGAAUGUAUUCACGGCGUGAAAUAGAGGAUUAUAAUGUUUUUAAAAUGGAAAGUGAAUCAAUUAACAUAAUAGACUCCU